AUGCCUUCCCUGUGCAGGAGACCCUGCUCGGGGGCCAGCCUGUGGCCCAGGAGGAUGGCAAGGAGAGCCGCAUCUCGGAGCAGGAGAGGCUGUGAGGGUGCAGGGCGCUGCCUCCAACGGGAACACAGGCUUGGGCCAGCACAGUCUCCUCUGUUCCCUCUCCAGCCAAGGAGGAAAUCUGGCAUCUGGCCUGGCUGCAAAUUAUGUGAUGCUGCAGUGGGCCAUGGCAUAGCCACCCACCAUGGGGGUACCACCACAGCCCCUGAUCUGGCCACCUCUCCAGGGCUGACACAGUGGAGCAAAGCUCAGCUGCCUGCUCAGGGCUGCAGAGCAGAGCCUGGUCCCACCACCCGCCCAGGGUGCUGCCACGGGGCGCAGCGUGGCUGCUCACAGGCCGACCCCCUGGCAGAGCCCGGUGCAGCCACUGCACCAGGGCCCCCGUGGCAGAGCGUGGCUGCUUGGGUGGGUGCCCAGUGGCACAGCCCGCUCUGCCUGACUGCCGGGGAUGCCGGGGCGGAGAGUGUGGGCUGCUGGUGUGGGACGGUCCUGGCAGGCCACCCGCCCAGGGAGCUGGGGCACCCGCGCCAGGACCCUGUGCUGGAGCUGGGCCCGGUGGGUGCUGGCGGUGGAGACCGGGCAGCGGCCGGGGCCGUGGCGGCCCGGGGCAGGGCAGCAGCCCCCGUGCCUCCCCGCGCACCCUGUGCUGGCCCAGCGCUGCGGGGCUCCGUGGGGAGGCUGCCCGCUUCUCCCGGCGGGGACACGGACCCGGUACGGCGGCGGGGGCCAGUGCCCCGGACACAGGCGCGCGGCAGCCGGGAGAUGGUGCUGCGGGACCGGCGUGCGGCUGUCCCGCCCCGUGCCCGCCUCCGGCACCGGCCCGCAGCGACGCCGCCCCGCGUGGGGCUCCGGGCUCGCCGCGGCCCCGCUUCCCUCUGCCGGCCGGGCCCGUGGGGCGGGUGCCGCGGGGGGGACGGGGACACACACCUCCCAGCGCACCCCACACCACGUGCGUGGGGGCACACGCUGCUCGCUGCUGCCUGCAGCCACCCGCGGGGGGCACGGCCCGCUCCACGGAGGGAACGGCUGGACGCGAUUAUCCUCCACUGCGCCGCUGACAAGAAGCUGUCAUUAAACUUUAUUAUUCUCCCAAUGUGCGUGAGCAGCACGGCCGCCAGCCCCUGCCGCCUCCCCCUCGGGCCCCCCGCCGCUACCAGCACUGCGGGGGCCGAUACUCCCGGGGAGGGAUGCUCCCGGCUCAGUUGCUCCUGGGAUGGGCGCUCCCAGAACAGAUGCUCCCACAAGAGGAGGGAAGAGCUGCGCUUGAUCCCUGUCGUAGCCCCAGCCCCUACGCUGUCCCCCACCACGCCCCGAGCCCGGGCAUGCUCCCCCUGCAUCUGCAGUCAGCGUCUGGCCCCAGCCUGGCAGGACUGA
Molecule: long non-coding RNA, 1431 nt
Filed under: Falco tinnunculus (common kestrel)
Lineage: Eukaryota; Metazoa; Chordata; Aves; Falconiformes; Falconidae
Description: lncRNA (ENSFTIG00000002151.1)
Source: RNAcentral